AUGCAGCCGCCGUGCCUGGGCGCGUGCGGGGGCAGCCCCGCCGUCCUGGGCGCCAGCGCCCACUGCCAGCGCCCCUCCACCUCUACCAGGGUUACCGUCCGGUGCGCCGCCCGGGGCGGGAGGGCGUCGUCCAGGGGGAAGGAGAACGUCUGGAGCGUAGACAACGAACGCGCCGCCGAGCAGAAGUCUCGGUCCCAAAAGAGUCACCGCGGGCGGAGGCGCCCGGCCGGCCGCAGCAGGCCGCCCCCGCCGCCGAGGAGGAGGAAGGAGAAUGACGCGGGCUCGAGGGUUCUGGUCUCCGGUGCCAUGCUGGUGGAGGUCGAGACCGUGCUCCAGACCCAGGAAUCUGUAUUAAGGCCUUCCUGGGAUACAUUUGCGAGUAGCUUAAGUGGCGUAUGGAAGGGUGUCGGAGCUGUGUUCUCACCAAUCACAGCAGAGAUGGAACCUGUUGGACUAGGAAGCAAACAGGAGUAUCUUUAUGAUUGCUACACCCUUUCUCUCAUUGAGAAGUCGUAUGAUAGUGGUCAUGGAACCGAGAUCCGAAGGAAGACAAAUUGGGUGCAACUCAAUCCUCACGGGGAAGCUGAGAAGCAGAGUGCCAGCGAUGAUGAAUGGAAUCAUGGUAGCUCAAGUGGGACUGUUGAUUUACCUGCACAUGAAUAUUUUGAUCUUAAAAAGAGCGAUGUACUCGAUGAAGAUGUUAUGAUUGAAGAACCAGGGAUUGUAUUUUUUGAGGAUGGAUCAUACUCUAGAGGUCCACUCGAUAUCGAAAUCGGUGAAUAUGAUGAAUCUAAAUACUUCCUUUCACCAACGUAUCAGUUUGAGCAAAGUUUGGUCAAAGGAUGCCACAAAAGACUGCGUAUUGUGCAUACCAUUGAAUUCAGUGAAGGAGGAGCGAAUAUACAAACUGUAAGGGUUGCUGUGUAUGAAGAAAAAUGGGCUAGCCCAGCAAAUAUCCAUGUUGAAGAUAAUACCCCUGUUGACGUCAGUCCUUUCUCUCAAAGAAAGCGGACAAAACCAUCAGAACUGACAGGCCCCUGGAAAGUAUAUGAAGUCAGUGCAACACCAAUUUUCAGCGAGAAAGUGAAAGAAAUAGAGGGUGGAGCCGCCUUUGUAUACUUGUGCAUGGAGACCAUGAAGAAGAGAAGCUUGCCAGAGAGCUCUGUUUUCUUCGGGGAGGAGGAGAUGCUCGAUAUGCAAGACGUGACUAUACUUUGGUUGCCUGGAGGCGUCACCGCCUAUGUUGACGUAGAUAAAGACGGUAUACUCUGCAUCGGAGUUAGUUGGUACUCGGAGGAAGGGAUUAAUCUGGUGAUGGAGAGAGAUUAUGGAACCGAUGGGAAGCUCAGGGAGGUUCGGACAAAAACUGAAAUCAAGCGCAGGUGGAAUCAACCACUCCCACCAUAG
RNAcentral lists this ribosomal RNA (1407 nucleotides) under Triticum aestivum (bread wheat). RNAcentral's name for it is "partial small subunit ribosomal RNA". The record is from RNAcentral. Lineage: Eukaryota; Viridiplantae; Streptophyta; Magnoliopsida; Poales; Poaceae.